RNAcentral lists this ribosomal RNA (465 nucleotides) under uncultured Bacteroidales bacterium. RNAcentral describes it as "bacterial SSU rRNA". It matches the Rfam family "Bacterial small subunit ribosomal RNA", at positions 335 to 797 of the family's 1533-position model. Lineage: Bacteria; Pseudomonadati; Bacteroidota; Bacteroidia; Bacteroidales. The record is from RNAcentral.
UUGCCUACGGGUGGCAGCAGUAGGGAAUAUUGGGCAAUGGAAGCAAUUCUGACCCAGCCAUGCCGCGUGAAGGAAUACAGCCCUAUGGGUUUUAAACUUCUUUUAUUAUAGAGUAAACGGAGGUACGUGUACCUCCCUGCAAGUAUAUGAUGAAUAAGGAUCGGCUAACUCCGUGCCAGCAGCCGCGGUAAUACGGAGGAUCCAAGCGUUAUCCGGAUUUAUUGGGUUUAAAGGGUGCGCAGGCGGAUCAAUAAGUCAGGGGUGAAAAAUUUCAGCUUAACUGGAGUCGUGCCUUUGAUACUGUUGGACUAGAGUAUAAUUGACGUGACUGGAAUGUGAUGUGCAGCGGUGAAAUGCUUAGAUAUGUCACAGAACGCCAAUCGUGAAGACAGGUCACGAAAUUAUUACUGACGCUCAUGCACGAAAGCGUGGGGAUCAAACAGGAUUAGAUACCCCGGUAGUCUC